UACGUAGGGGGCAAGCGUUGUUCGGAAUUACUGGGCGUAAAGCGCGCGUAGGCGGUUUGGAAAGUCAGAUGUGAAAGCCCCGGGCUCAACUUGGGUACUGCAUUUGAUACUGCCAGACUAGAGUACAGAAGAGGUGACUGGAAUUCCCAGUGUAGCGGUGAAAUGCGUAGAUAUUGGGAGGAACACCAGAUGCGAAGGCGGGUCACUGGGCUGAUACUGACGCUGAUGCGCGAAAGCCAGGGGAGCGAACGGG
RNAcentral lists this ribosomal RNA (253 nucleotides) under uncultured bacterium. Its description in RNAcentral is "partial 16S ribosomal RNA". It matches the Rfam family "Bacterial small subunit ribosomal RNA", at positions 524 to 776 of the family's 1533-position model. The record is from RNAcentral.